UACGAAGGGGGCUAGCGUUGCUCGGAUUGACUGGGCGUAAAGGGCGCGUAGGCGGUUCGUACAGUCAGACGUGAAAUUCCUGGGCUCAACCUGGGGGCUGCGUUUGAUACGUGCGGACUUGAGUGCGGAAGAGGGUCGUGGAAUUCCCAGUGUAGAGGUGAAAUUCGUAGAUAUUGGGAAGAACACCGGUGGCGGAGGCGGCGACCUGGUCCGAUACUGACGCUGAGGCGCGAAAGCGUGGGGAGCAAACAGG
RNAcentral lists this ribosomal RNA (253 nucleotides) under uncultured bacterium. RNAcentral describes it as "partial 16S ribosomal RNA". It matches the Rfam family "Bacterial small subunit ribosomal RNA", at positions 524 to 776 of the family's 1533-position model. The record is from RNAcentral.